CCUACGGGAGACAGCAGUGAGGAAUAUUGGUCAAUGGACGAGAGUCUGAACCAGCCAAGUAGCGUGAAGGAUGACUGUCCUAUGGGUUGUAAACUUCUUUUAUCUGGGAAUACAACGUUCUACGUGUGGGAUUUUGUAUGUACCUUAUGAAUAAGGAUCGGCUAACUCCGUGCCAGCAGCCGCGGUAAUACGGGGGAUCCGAACGUUAUCCGGAUUUCUUGGGUUUAACGGGUGCGUAGGCGGGCUGUUAAGUCAGCGGUAAAAGCCCGGGGCUCAACCCCGGCGAGCCGUUGAAACUGGCUGUCUUGAGAUGUCGAGAGGUAUGCGGAAUGCGCAGUGUAGCGGUGAAAUGCUUAGAUAUCGCGCAGAACUCCGAUUGCGAAGGCAGCAUGCCGGCGGCGAUCUGACGCUGAGGCACGAAAGCGUGGGUAUCGAACAGGAUUAGAUACCCGGGUAGUC
This 459-nucleotide ribosomal RNA is filed under the name uncultured bacterium. Its description in RNAcentral is "partial 16S ribosomal RNA". It matches the Rfam family "Bacterial small subunit ribosomal RNA", at positions 338 to 795 of the family's 1533-position model. The record is from RNAcentral.